UACGGGGGGAGCAAGCGUUGUUCGGAUUUACUGGGCGUAAAGGGCGCGUAGGCGGCCACCGCAAGUCGGUUGUGAAAUCUCCGGGCUUAACCCGGAAAGGUCAAUCGAUACUGCGGGGCUAGAGUGCAGAAGGGGCAACUGGAAUUCUCGGUGUAGCGGUGAAAUGCGUAGAUAUCGAGAGGAAUACCUGCGGCGAAGGCGGGUUGCUGGGCUGACACUGACGCUGAAGCGCGAAAGCUAGGGGAGCGAACGGG
This 254-nucleotide ribosomal RNA is filed under the name uncultured bacterium. RNAcentral's name for it is "partial 16S ribosomal RNA". It matches the Rfam family "Bacterial small subunit ribosomal RNA", at positions 524 to 776 of the family's 1533-position model. The record is from RNAcentral.